AAAGAUGCUUUGGUGCCUUCGGGAACUCUGAGGACAGGUGCUGCAUGGCUGUCGUCAGCUCGUGUUGUGAAAUGUUGGGUUAAGUCCCGCAACGAGCGCAACCCUUAUCCUUUGUUGCCAGCGGUCCGGCCGGGAACUCAAAGGAGACUGCCAGUGAUAAACUGGAGGAAGGUGGGGAUGACGUCAAGUCAUCAUGGCCCUUACGAGUAGGGCUACACACGUGCUACAAUGGCGCAUACAAAGAGAAGCGACCUCGCGAGAGCAAGCGGACCUCAUAAAGUGCGUCGUAGUCCGGAUUGGAGUCUGCAACUCGACUCCAUGAAGUCGGAAUCGCUAGUAAUCGUGGAUCAGAAUGCCACGGUGAAUACGUUCCCGGGCCUUGUACACACCGCCCGUCACACCAUGGAAGUGGGUUGCAAAAGAAGUAGGUAGCUUAACCUUCGGGAGGGCGCUUACCACUUUGUGAUUCAUGACUGGGGUGAAGUCGUAACAAGGUAGGCGUAGUGCU
This 508-nucleotide ribosomal RNA is filed under the name uncultured bacterium. RNAcentral's name for it is "bacterial SSU rRNA". It matches the Rfam family "Bacterial small subunit ribosomal RNA", at positions 1002 to 1509 of the family's 1533-position model. The record is from RNAcentral.